This is a non-coding RNA of Danio rerio (zebrafish), 506 nucleotides long. Lineage: Eukaryota; Metazoa; Chordata; Actinopteri; Cypriniformes; Danionidae. The record is from Ensembl.
ACACUCCACACGCGCUGGCAGAAAGGUCCUGAUGGAGGGAGAGGGAGGGAAACAGAAGUAGAGAGAGGACCAGGGAAAGCCCAUAAUGCUAAUUCCUGGUGACAUUUGUUGUGUGAAGAUUACUCACUGGCCCGUAGCCUGGCGUAGCACAACAGUGAUGGCUUUAAAGACAUGGAGUUGGCGCUGUCCCAGCCUCGACACCUCACCCACAAACUGUGCCUCCUGUCAACCCCCCCACGGGCACCUAUUGUGGUGAAUCAGUGACCGUACCGUUCCUUCUUUCUGCUCUUCACCAACAAAUGAUGAACUAAGUGGGAAAAAAGACAGAAUGGAAUGAAGAAGAAUAGAAGAUCCAGAGCAUGUUGGCUUUUGACUUUUGGAGUCAUUGUGGACAAUGCAAGUGCUGGACCAUCAUUUUCAAAAUACUGACAGGGUUCGUCAAACAUUUCAUUAUUGUGUUUCUUACAAUAUGUUGCUUGAAUGAAAAUAAAUGGAUGUUUUAAUAG